AGGAAUCAUAUUUUAUCAGGAAUUCCAUGGGGCAACCUUGCUUGGUGCAUUAAUGUACCUCUUUGGGUGUUUUCUGUCCUUCUUUGGAGUGGUUUUGGUCACAAGAAAUCGAGAAAGGAAACAUUUACAACAAUCAUACAUUGAUAUUGGACAGAUUCCUGGGAAACAAAUGUUGGACAAAAUUCAGCCAGAGUCCAAUGGCCAAAGCUAUGGAACUUUGCCUGAUGAAAGCAACCCCAUGAAGAGCCCAGGCGGAGAGAAGAAAGACAGCUGAAUGCCAAGAGGACCGUUUGUUGACGUGUUAUUUAAUACCACCUUUAAACCAAGCUGCACAUGUCCCGUUUGUGGCAAAAGUUAUUUUAUGGUGAUAUUUGUUCACAUCAUCUCAGUGUUUCCUGCCCCCUCUCCUCUUGGGACCAUCCCAUGCCGGCUCAGCUUUGCGAUACUAAUGCUUUCUGAAAACCGAAAAGUCCAGAAAUGUAAUCCACAAUUACUUUUGAGCUCUAGACCUCUGCCUAGUGAUCAUUUCUUUGUCCUUGUAAACUUUAAAUACAUCAUAGAUGAGUGUUUGGAUGUGUUUGGAUGUGUGUGGACACAUAUGCAGGUGCAUCAUAUUUCAUAUUCAAACCAAACAUAUGGUUGAAAGGAAUCAGUUUCCCUAUUUUAUAGUCACUUCUUACCUACUCUUGACACACUCCUACGAAAGAGAGUCUUUAUACCAUUCCUUUUUUUUUUUUUUUAUGAGG
Molecule: long non-coding RNA, 746 nt
Organism: Gracilinanus agilis (Agile Gracile Mouse Opossum)
Lineage: Eukaryota; Metazoa; Chordata; Mammalia; Didelphimorphia; Didelphidae
Exons: 3
Source: RefSeq, a predicted model, not a curated record